Falco tinnunculus (common kestrel) is the source of this 137-nucleotide small nucleolar RNA. The record is from Ensembl. Lineage: Eukaryota; Metazoa; Chordata; Aves; Falconiformes; Falconidae.
CACAGCCUUGUCAGAUUUGGUGCCCACUUAUGCCACGAUGGGGACUGGCCCAAUGGCUGCCACAGCCAUGUCCAUGCUCUGUGGGCCCCCUGUCCCUGCCGUGGGACAUCAGGGAUCUAAAUAAAUUAUGGAUGCUC